GAUGAAGAACGCAGCGAAAUGCGAUAAGUAAUGCGAAUUGCAGAAUUCAGUGAGUCAUCGAAUCUUUGAACGCACAUUGCGCCCUGUGGUAUUCCGCAGGGCAUGCCUGUUCGAGCGUCAUUUCAACCCUCAAGCUCUGCUUGGUGUUGGGCCCUGCCCGCUCGCGGCCGGCCCUAAAGACAGUGGCGGUGCCGUCUGGCUCUAAGCGUAGUACAUCUCUCGCUCAGGUGCCCGGCGGUGUCCUGCCAGAACCCCCCAACUCUGUGGUUGACCUCGGAUCAGGUAGGGAUACCCGCUGAACUUAAGCAUAUCAAUAAGCGGAGGA
This 325-nucleotide unclassified non-coding RNA is filed under the name soil metagenome. RNAcentral's name for it is "partial contains 5.8S ribosomal RNA, internal transcribed spacer 2, and large subunit ribosomal RNA". The stretch from base 1 to 120 matches the Rfam family "5.8S ribosomal RNA", at positions 35 to 154 of the family's 154-position model. The record is from RNAcentral.